Molecule: small RNA, 1274 nt
Filed under: Malus domestica (apple)
Lineage: Eukaryota; Viridiplantae; Streptophyta; Magnoliopsida; Rosales; Rosaceae
Description: sRNA MD11G0171400
Source: RNAcentral
GGAAACAAGAGAGGAUUGUGUGAACACACAAUAAAAAAUAAGACAAGAUUGUGUUAAUGGAUAGUGUGAACACACAAUAUGUAGCGGAAAUAAGAGUGUUCACACACAGUAUAUAUAACAGCAGAUGGAUAUUGCCAUUCACAUUUAACGUUCACACCCUCCAUGAUCAAUGCAGUCAGUAUCUUCUUUCCUCUCCCUGAGAAAACCCCAGCGCCGUCUCAAGCUAAAGCGCUACAACCUUGUCUCGUCUCAGCUUGUCUGCUGCUUCCAAGCCCAGGUCCAUCUCCAAUCCUCCGCCAAAAUAUCGAACCCAAAGUAGGGGAACACGAUCAACAGCCCCGGUGACAAGAGAGACAACCAGAGAAGGCGGUUGAGAUGUUAUACAGCCCAGCCAGCAACGGAGCAAGACUGAAAAGGUAUAAAAUUGCUUCCCUUUGCCAAUUGUGAUACGCGAUCUGUAAAUAUAGUCCCUGGAAGAAGAUGGAUGCUCAAUUGAGAGCCCUCCCCACCUCAUUUCCGUCAUGCUGUGGCCUAAACCUGAUGUGGUACCAUCCUGAAGAGUGUCAUCAACGGUGCACCUCCGACUCUGAAGUAAUUUUGAAACAACCAAACUGAAAGCGAACACGACAGGCAAAGGGGACAGUUUGAUAGGACUAGUAGCAUGGCGACGGCUGAAAUGAUACUGCACUGCUGAGCAAAUGCAUUGAACAAUGGCCAGACCUAAUCCAAAAAUUUCAGGGAAUGUACCAAAAAGCAUGUUAUUUGGAGUUGGAUAGUGAAAACACCAUAGCAUUCCCCGACUCCUCAAUACAACUCUUUCCUUUAUAGCAUUUUGAAGGAGCUCGCAGAUGCAAACAAGUACAGCCACAAUUGCCAACAGCAUACCAAUUAAUGCGUAGUGAGGAUUAAGUGGGGAGGAAACCUGAUCAAAAACCGAUGCCAGAAUCUCGAUGCCGCAGCUAAAAACAGAGAACCUUCCGAUCCCAAGGAUAAAAACCAGCUGACUGAAGCUCAAGACCAAUACCCGUAUCACAUGGCGUUGCUCGUCAACGAGGCCCUGCAAUCAAGAGUUGGAAUCGCCCAAAUUACUUCAAAGUUCAUUUGAAAUUAUGAAUGAUAAACGAAUACGGGAAGAUAAUAUUUGUUUUAAGAGCUAAGAGUCUAAGACAAUGAAGGUUUGAUCAAAGGGUAGAUUAAAGGGAAUUUUAACGAAAAUCUUCCGGUGCUGUUCACUUUGAUGAAAAAUCAAAUUUUUACACUAAAAGAUUAAUUUU